Molecule: transfer RNA, 65 nt
Filed under: Thalassina squamifera
Lineage: Eukaryota; Metazoa; Arthropoda; Malacostraca; Decapoda; Thalassinidae
Description: tRNA-Leu
Source: RNAcentral
AUUACUUUGGCAGAUUAUGCAUUAGACUUAGGAUCUAAUUAUAUAGAUUGAUUCUAUAAGUAGUA